AGUGAACGCUGGCGGUAGGCCUAACACAUGCAAGUCGAACGGCAGCACAGUAAGAGCUUGCUCUUACGGGUGGCGAGUGGCGGACGGGUGAGGAAUACAUCGGAAUCUACUUUUUCGUGGGGGAUAACGUAGGGAAACUUGCGCUAAUACCGCAUACGACCUACGGGUGAAAGCAGGGGAUCUUCGGACCUUGCGCGAUUGAAUGAGCCGAUGUCGGAUUAGCUAGUUGGCGGGGUAAAGGCCCACCAAGGCGACGAUCCGUAGCUGGUCUGAGAGGAUGAUCAGCCACACUGGAACUGAGACACGGUCCAGACUCCUACGGGAGGCAGCAGUGGGGAAUAUUGGACAAUGGGCGCAAGCCUGAUCCAGCCAUACCGCGUGGGUGAAGAAGGCCUUCGGGUUGUAAAGCCCUUUUGUUGGGAAAGAAAAGCAGCUGGUUAAUACCCCGCUGUUCUGACGGUACCCAAAGAAUAAGCACCGGCUAACUUCGUG
RNAcentral lists this ribosomal RNA (492 nucleotides) under uncultured bacterium. Its description in RNAcentral is "partial 16S ribosomal RNA". It matches the Rfam family "Bacterial small subunit ribosomal RNA", at positions 29 to 507 of the family's 1533-position model. The record is from RNAcentral.